This 9393-nucleotide long non-coding RNA is filed under the name Equus caballus (horse). Its description in RNAcentral is "lncRNA (ENSECAG00000045185.1)". Lineage: Eukaryota; Metazoa; Chordata; Mammalia; Perissodactyla; Equidae. The record is from RNAcentral.
GUGAGCACUCCCCUACCCUUCCUUGGCAUCAGUGAGCCAGGUUGCAGGUCCUCAUACAGUGGCUGGUGUUACUCUAAGAGGAGAUAGGGACAGCCCAGACUGUGGGUAAAUGCUAUCCCAGCAUAUAGGAGCACACACCAUGCUGCAGCAGCCCCACCAGUGAGAAUGUUCCCUGGUGUAAUUGUAAGAGGAGCUGAUGGCAACCCUGUACGUGCAUGUGAAUGCUGUCCUGGCCUGUGGGAGUGCCCACUGUGCUGCCAUGGCCCCGCCAGUGGGAACACAGCUUGGCUUGACUGUAAGAGGAGCCAGGGGCAGCCUUGUGUGCAUGUGCAAAUGUUAUCCCAGCCUGUGGGAGCACGCACUGUGCUGCCACAGCCCCAGUGAGUGGUCCAGCUUAGACCCUGUGAAGAAGCCCCACCUACCAAGCAGAGUGGCCAGUGUGACUGUAAGCAGAGGGAGCAGCAGCUUGGUGCAUGUGCAAAUGCUGUUCUGGCCUGUGGGAAUGCCCCGUACCCACGCAACUUACAACAGAUGGGGUGGGGUCAGAAACAUGGCUCCUGCUUCCCCCCAGCAGUAGCAGGUGGAAUCUGUGAAGUGGUGCUACCACAAAUGCACCAGCAAAGGAUAAGUUCAUCAAACACCAUGAAAAACUAUAGUAACAAUUCAGAGCAGAAGGAAAAUGACAAGGCUCCAGAAAACAACCCUGAAGUCACAGAAAUUGACAAUCUAAAUGACAGAGAAUUCAAAAUAGUUGUCAAAAAGAAACUCAAUGAGUUACAUGAAAACUCAGAAAGACGGUUCAAUGAGCUGAGGAAUAAAAUUAAUGAGCAUAAGAAAUACUUUACCAAAGAGAUUGAAACUAUAUAAAAAACCCCCAGAAAUUCUGGAUAUGAAGAAUGCAAUGAGAUAAAAAUUAAUCUAGAAUCCUUAAAAAAUAGAGCUGAUAUUAUGGGGGACAAAAUUAGUGAUUUAGAGGAUAGAAAUGUAGAAAUUCUUCAGGUGGAGGGAAGAAAGAACUAAGAUUUAAAAAAAACCAGAGAAAUUCUUUGAGAAAUAUCUGACUGAAUUCAGAAAAGCAACAUGAGGAUUAUAGGCAUUCCAGAGGGAGAAGAGAGGAAGAAAGGAGCAGAGAGCUUGUUCAAAGAAAUAAUAGCUGAGAACUUCCCAAACCUGGGGAAAGAACUGAACUUACAAGUACAUGAAGCCAAUAUAACUCCUAAUUACAUCAAUGCAAAAGACCUUAUCCAAGGUAUAUAAUAGUAAAACUGGCAAAAGUCAAUGACAAAAAAUAUUAAGGGCACCAAGGCAGAAGAAAACAAUCUACAAAGGAACCCCUAUCACUCUUUUGGUGGAUUUCUUGACAGAAACCUUACAAGCUAGGAGAGAAUGGAAUGAUAUAUUCAGAAUACUGAAAGACAAAAACUUUUAGCCAAGAAUGCUCUAUCCAGUGAAACUAUCCUUCAGAUAUGAUGGAGAAAUAAAAGCUUUCCCAGAUAAACAGAAGCUGAGGGAGUUCAUUGCCAGUAGACCUCCCUUACAAGAAAUAACAAAGGAAUCACUCAUACCUGAAAUGAAAAGGCAAAGGUCUACAAAGCUUUGAGCAAUGAGAUAAAUAGACAGAAAAAAUAAGAAAACUGCAGCUCUCUGUCAGAACAGGUUAGCAAACACUUAAUUAUAACAUGAAAGAUAAAUGGAAAGAAAGCAUAAAAAAUAACUAUAAAUACUUUAAUUUAAUCACAGACUCACAACACAAAACAGAAUAAUUUGUGACAACUAUGACUCAGAAGGGGAAGAGGAAAAGUGUGGGAUUUGCUUAGGCUAAUGGAAAUAAGAAGUUAUCAGAAAAUGGACUAUCUCAUCUAUGAAAUCUUUUAUACAAACUUCAUGGUAACCACUAAACAAAAAAACAGAGCAGAGACACAAUUCAUAAAUAAAGAGAAAACUGAGAAAACCACCAAACUGUAAUGGCAGUCAGAAAUACAAGGGAAGAGAAACAACAGAAAUACAGAACAACAAGAAAACGAGAUAAAAUGGCAGUAUUAAUCCCUCCUAUGUCAGUAAUCACCCUAAAUGUAAAUGGAUUGAAUUCUCCAAUCAAAAGAUGCAGAGUAGCUGGAUGGAUUAAAAAACAAGACUAACAAUAUACCGCCUCCAAGAAACACAUCUCAGCUCUAAAGACAAACACAGGCUCAGAGUGAAGGGACGGAAGAUGAUACUCCAAGCAAAUGGCAAACAAAAGAAAGCAGAUGUUGCCAUACUUAUAUCAGACAAAGCAGACUUCAAGAUAAAAAAGGCACAGAGAGAAAAAGAGGGGCAGUAUAAAAUGAUAAAAGGGAUUUCCUACCAAGAGGACAUAAUCUUUAUGAAUGUAUAUGCAUCUAACACAGGAACACCAAAGUAUGUAAAGCAACUUAACAGACCUAAAGGGAGAAAUUAACAGCAACACAAUAAUAGUAGGGGACCUCAGCUCCCCACUUACAUCAAUGGGUAGACGAUCCAGACAGAAAGUCAAUGAGGAAAUAGUGGAUUUAAAUGAAACACUUGGUCAGAUGACUUAAUAGAUAUAUAUAUAGAGAAAACAUUCCAUCCAAAAAGAGCAGCAUACACAUUCUUCUCAAGUGCACAUGGAAUGUUCUCAAAGAUAGGCCAUAUGUUGGGAAAGAAGGCAAGCCUUCCCUAAUAAUUAGUGAUGUUCAACAUCUUUUCAUGUGCCUCUUGGCCAUCUGUAUAUCUUCUUUGGAAAAAUGUCUGUUCAUAUCCUCUGCCCAUUUUUUGAUUGUCUAUAAUUAACAAGACAAAAAAUAAAAAAGUGUUGGAGAGGAUGAGGAGAAAAGAGACCCCUCAUACACUGCUGGUGGGAAUGCAAACUGGUGCAGCCACUAUGGAAAAUAGUAUGGAGAUUUUUCAAAAAAUUAAAAAUAGAACUACCAUAUGACCCAGGUAUCCCACUACUGGAUAUUUAUCUAAAGAACUAGAAAUCAACAAUUCAAAGAGAUUUGUGCACCCCUGUGUUCAUUGUAGCAUUAUUCACAAUAGCCAAGAUGUGGAAGCAACCUAAGUGCCCUUUAACUAAUGAAUGGAUAAAGACGAUGUGGUAUGUAUAUACAACAGAAUACUACUCAGCCAUAAAAAAGACAAAAUCGCCCCAUUUGCAACAAUGUGGAUGGACCUUGAGGUUAUGAUGUUAAGUGAAACAAGCCAGACAGACAGAGAAACACUGCAUGAUUUCACUCAUAUUUGGAAGAUAAACACACAGAUAAAGAGAACAGAUUAGUGGUUACCAGAAGGGAAGGGGGUUGGAGGGGGUUGCAAAAGCAGCAGAGGGGCACAUAUAUACGGUGAUGGAAAAAAUUAGACUGUUGGUAGUGAGCAGGAUGCAGUCUAUACAGAAACUGAUAAAUAAUAAUGUACACCUGAAACUACACAAUGUAAUAAACCAUAAUGACCUCAAUAAAAUAAUUUUUUAAAAUAAAAAAAAUAAAGAAUAUAAGAAUCUCAAUCUUUUGGAGAGAAGCAAAGCCAGGACGGACUCCUCUGAUGCAGGGCAUGGACGCUCCAAGCAGUGAAAUGAUAACAAGGCCAGGCCCGGUUCACGUCGGUUUACUUCAUUUUUAACUGUCUGCAUCAGACUAUCGAAACAGGAGAUUUCAACCCAAGAAACCCAAGCCUAUUGCACUAGGAAGUGGUGAUUCCCCCUGAGUCAGACUGGAUCAUAUUUGAGGUCCUUUAAAACCUGGAGGUUUGAAGAAUUUUUUUUUUAAAUCCAGAGGAGGAAGAUUUCAGUUAGUGAUUGAACUGGACCUAGAAUUUUGGUUUCUUAAUUCCAAAUUCCACAUUCUGGCUGUGAAUAUGAAGGCCCCCCUCAUCCCCCUCCCUCCAGCCCAGUGCACCUCUGUGCCUUGAGGCCAUGGUUAUCUUGAACCACGUCUUACCAUACUCCUUUUUCUCCCCAAAGAUACUCCAUCAGUGGAGAGAGCCUGAAUUGGAGCUUCAUCAGACUGCAGACUUCUUUAGGGAGGAAUGGGUUGAAAGAUGCUGGAGAAACAAUCCUUUUUCCUGAGAACACUGUAAGCUAAAAGAGGAUAAAGAAGGGCCCCUGAGAAGCGAUUUACGGAGUAUUAUUUGCUCAACUAGAGAAGCAGCUCAGAGCUGGAUCUGUACGAGUUUGUGUGUUCUUUCUGCAAAGUGGUGCAGUCUGCCCACCGGCUGCUACUACAUGUAGAAGCUGGUGAUCAUUUGCUCUUCAUAUCUCAGUGUGGAUUCCAAUUUAAACGCAAAGUAUUAAAAUUAGGCACAAUAUAACUUCAUUUAAUUCGCUAACUCAGAAGUUAGAAUUAUGUAGAUGGAGAAAGGCCGAUGUUUACCUUCAUACUCUUUAUUUUAAAAGAGAGAAUGUGUGUGUAUGAGAGAGAGAGAGAUAAAUAGAGACAAACUAAAAUAGUAAAUUUUUCUUCUACUUAAAAAAGAUCUAUUUGUAUAAGGUGAUCGAUGCAUUCAUUAAAUAUUAUUACUUUCUAUUCAUUAAAACAUAUUUCCAAAGUAUUGCUACUUGAAAGAACUAUUAACUCUAAUUGAGAUUACUUCAUAUAUAUAUGGAAAAGAAUCAUAAAUUUCUUGAAAACGUAAUAAUUCAUAUACUUCCCUAGAUGCUUUGAUGAUCUCAUUCAUUCAUUUAGUCAUUCAACAAAAAUAUAUUGAGUGCCAGCUCUGCCCUAGGCAGUGUGCCAUCCAGCCCAAACUAGGAAAGUUUCAUUACGUAAUGGAACGAGUGAAAAGAAUCACUUUCUUGAAUUUCUUCUUUGAAAGUCACUUUAUGACUUCUACUAAUUUAGGAGAGUUUAAAUGCAAACAUAUGAGGGCAGAAACAUGGGUUAGGGGAGGCUUCCAGUCAUCAAACACAACACAAGUUGUUCCUUCACUGUUAAAGUCUAAUAGACCUGAACUAAAAAUCAAACCUCUAUGACGUUUUUACUAAACUCUGUUGAUAAACACGGAAGGAAGAUAUGGAGCCACAGAUGUGUUUAUUUGACUUAGAAAGGGCUUAUUAGGGGGCAAUUUUUGUGGUGCAUCAUUUUCUUCAUUGAUCAUGCACAAAUGAUUCUUUUUAUAAAGACGUAUCAUAAAAUCUCCAACAUGGCCUUCAAAAGGAAACAGAGUUCAAAGAAAAUAAGGAAGGGUUUGCUCAGAUCUUCCAGAGAAGGAAGGAAUCUCGUUGAAAAAACUAGGACAUCCUCUGUCUGACGGGGCAACUGAGAACCAGAGAAGUAAACAAUUUUGGGGAAGAAUAAAAGCAUUCAGGGACUUUGGAGGAUCUGAACCCAUCCUACACAUAUGAAAAAGUGCCAGUCUCACAGGAUGUCAGAAGGAGAAAUGAACAUGGAAGUGGAUUAAAACUCACCCCGUUCCUUAAGGAAGAAUUAAGGAAAAGUUAGCUACUUUGACACAGGGGGAAAUAGUCAUAAAUAAAAGCAUUGGUAACACAGAGAUUAUCCAAGAAUCUUUCAGUCCUUCUCAAUUUGACCAAAGUACGUUUCCGAAGUUUAAACCUGAAUAGGCAAAUGCCACACUACGCCAUUUCAAUGAAAGCGAUGGGAUUUUGCUGCUGCCUAGAUUUGGAUUUUAAUGACCCUCUGAAACCUGGUGGCCAGUCCCCUGUGAUCACAGUGAGAGUAAAAAUGCUAGAGGCAGUACUGUAAUUAACAUCAGUAUAGCUUCUUCUUACGAAAGAGAUUCAUGGGCAUUUUCCUGUUUGACCUCUUCAGCAAUUAUGUGUGGGGACCUAUGGUUUUCUCCAUUCUAGAAGUGGAAGAAACUGAAGUCCAGGGAGAUUAUGAGACUCAUGUACCACUGCAGACACUGGUUACUGGUGGGUCCAGGACAUGAGCUCAUGUCCUUACCCAAACAUUGGGAAUACUUUCAUUCUAUCCCAUUGUUUCUGACCAAAAAGUUAUGAACCUGUGGUAAGAAAGAUUGAUUGUCUGUGUCCAUUUGGGCUGUUAUGACAGAAAACCAUAGAUGGGUAGCUCAUAAACAACAAACUACUUCUCACAGUUCUGGAGGCCGAGAAAUCCAAGAUCAAGGGACUAGCAGAUUCCGUGUCUGCUGAGGGCCCAUGUCCUGGCUCAUAGAUGACUGUCUUUUUGUCAUGUUCUCACACGUCAGAAGGGGCAAGGGAGCUCUCUAGGGUCUCUUUUGUAAGGGCACUAAUCCCAUUCAUGAGGGCUCUGCCCUCAUGACCCAAUCAUUUACCAAAGGCCCCACCUCCCAACACCAUCGUGUUGGGUGUUAGGAUCUAACAGAUGAAUUUGGGGAACACAAACAUUCAGUUUAUAGCAUUAAUGUUGAUAAAAACAGACAUAGCAUGAUACUGAAAAUAUGAGCUUACAAGUAAAUGCUCCUGAACAAUUUAGCUCGUGAAAUUAUUUUAAAGCCAGCAAUCCUAGAUCCUUGGAGAUAAUACACAUGCCAAACUUUUUUACUAGCCUAUUAGUUUUUUUUUUUCCAGCAGGUAGACAGCUAUUUGAAAAGCUCUCAGUGGAAUGGCUUAAUUCUUUAAGAAUAGAUUUCCCAGUUUUUUGGGCUACACUGAGACACUAAGUUGUAUCAUCUGAGAAUUCUUGGGAUAGUCAAAUAUAGGAGGGGGAACCUGCUCAUUUGCCCAGUCCAUUAAGAUGAGAUUGCAGGAGGAAGUUAAUAAGAAUCUUUCAUAUAAAAUAACAUUUCCUGAGAUUUAUGUAAAAAUAAUGAAUAUAAAUGACUAUGGGGAAGACAGCCUAUUAGUAGAAAGUUUCCUUUUUCACCUAAUCACCAAUUAAUGUAACUUGGAGGGAAGCCAGCGUGGCAUCUCCUGACCUUCCUUUGUCAUUCAACAUCUCUCUGAGAGGGACAUGCAUUAACUUUGUGAGGUAGAACAGGUCUGUUGGGUCUCCACAUUCCACACAAGGGUUUCUCCAUCAAAACUGGUGGUAGCAAGGGGAUCAAGAGAUGGACAGACAUCCGCAGCUAAGAUAUAUCCCGUGUGGAAUGGUCCUCCUCUCCAAGAAGAGUAGGCAAUCACAUGAAUGUUCUGGAAAGAACCAUAGAGGAAGAGACUCAUCUGGGUUUCCAGAGAGGACGGUUCACCCUUGCCUAGUGGACUAGGUGGAUACUCACAGCCCCACACUCCAAAAUGAGCUUCAAGAAGUCCAGAGCAGGACUCUGCUGAUCCCAGCGCUUCCCACCAGUGGAGAGAGUGUAUUUUGAGGCCCGUCCCAGACUGCUUUCUGGGGUUUUCUUCUCUGGGUACUAAUAACUAGAUGAACCAGAGACACAACAACCAGUCUCUUCUCUCACCAGUGAUCUUGUGGUUCAUUUCUCCCACCUUACCCAUUCAUUCUUCCCCCUCAACAUACUCUUGGAAUUACUGUGUUUUUCUGUUCAUGUUUAUGCUGAUUACACAUUUGUUGGGCUUGUCUCCCGUACACCCUCUUUAAAGGGUGGGGAUGGGCCCCUUCUCCACUAUCCAUUAUCCAGAGUGUCUACUUACGGGACUCCAUGCCCUGAGGGGGUGCAGUAAAUGCUUGUUUACCAGCUGCCCAAUUUCUCCAUAUGUCCCCUCUUCUACUCUGGGAGCUAGUCUGACCAAACCUUUGAUCAAGUCUGAUGGAGGCAGUCGAGGUCAAUGCUGUUCAUAGUUAGAAGUCCCUCCUGUGACUGAAGCACAGAGCUAGGCUCUUUAAAUGAGUAAGAUGAGUACAUCUUAUUCAGAGCCUUUCAAGCCGGAGGAGACAUCAGUGCCAGCAGUUCUCUGCCCUCCUGUUAACUCACUCUGGUGGGUCCAAUUAGUUGUGAAAUGUGUCAUCAGUAAUUUGUUACUAAUAAUAAAGUACUGAAUGAGGAUGACUUAUUUUUUAAAAAUAAAUUUGAGUGGAUUCAGAGUUAUUUUUAUAAUAACUCUUCAUGAUUUUUGUAGCAUUAUUUAUGGGUGUGAAACUCUGUAGUUUUCAACAUUUUUUUCCCUUCCGAUGCACAUGCCCCAUGUACCCCCAUGGGCCUAUUUAAGGAGUGGUUGCUUCAUUUCAGCUGAAACGUAAGUAAGAUGACUGGUGGUGUGUGUGUGUCAACCAGCUUUCCAGCUCUGACUGCAUGCCUUUCUCACCAGUGUAAGGAAGCUUAUCUGAAAGCAAGCUAUGAUGGUAACAUUAUUACAGAUACCAUCUAUUAUGGGGAGAGGGAGAUAAACUCUGAUGAGAAAGUUUCUUGGAUAGGGCAGAUCUAAGCUGAGUCUUGAAAGGUGGGCACAACUUGGACAGAUAGCUCUGGAGUACGGGAGCCAGCCAGCAGUAAAAAAAGUUGGGCAAAGUUGCAAAAGAGGGAAGUGUUGAAAGUGUUCAGGGUCCUAUGAGUUGUCCAGCAUGGCAAAAAUCUUGAAGGGUUAUGGAAGAUGGAAGGGUUUACACUUAAUUCUGUAUAUAGUGGAAAGCCAUCUGAGUUAGUCAAAUCGGGCACAUUAACUUGCAUAUUUCUACGUGACAGACACAUAGAAUAGUUUUUGAAAAGUUCCUGAAUGGGUUUAGAUGUAUCUGUAAACUUUUUAGGGCUUUAAAAACAUUAUUUCUAAGUGUAGUAUGGUGGUUAAGAGUCCUGGCUCUAGAACCAGUUAGUUUGGGUUCAAAAACAGCCUCUGUAAUUUACUGGCUGUAGAACUAGGGUUAUUGUGUCUCAAUUUCUUCAUCUGUAAAAUGUGGAUAAUAAAGGUGCUUAUUUCAUGUAUUUGUUACUAAGUAUUAAAUGGAUUAAAAUAUAAGUGCUAAGUGUUAAAUGGAUUAGAAUACAACUUGGCAUAGAAUAAGCUCUCAGUAACUGCCAGCUGCUAACACGAGUAUUAUUAUUACCUUUGCUAAGUGACAAGGUGGAUGUUCUCUCAUCAUUUCCUGAUGAUGUGAGUGAAAUAUGACACAUCUUAAUGAAUCAACUCUUAUUUGUUGAGUGAGCAUUUCAGUCACUCUGUCACACUUUCUGAGCGACAUAGAGAAGUAAGAUGUGUUCACAACCCUCAAGGAUGUUCCAAUCCAAUGAGAAAAAUAAGAUAUACAAGUGUGGAAAAGCUAACCAACAACAAAACAAGGGUGUGCCAGUGUAUUAGAUAGCACAACCAGUGCCAAAUGAAGGUUAUGACAGCCCUUUUCUCUAAGAGUGUGGAGAAGGAAAUGAUGACAUGUGGGUUACAGUGCUUUGGGAAAUCUUUAAGAAUUGCAGAGUUUGAUCUGGGGGUUUAAGUAGGGUUCUGGUCACCUGUUUCCACCGUCGCUCCUCUGUUGUGUUCUCGCUCCUGCCCUAGAUGUGUGUGGAUCCUCUGGGGGCGUCCGUUGGAAGAAAGCCGCUUGCGGGUACUAGGCUGCCCGUCGGGGUCGG